GAAUUACACUAGCAGGAUAAUGAUCGAACGAAAGCAGGAUCAAAAGGAUAAUGACAAAAACUUGCCUGUAACUGCAGAAUAUGCUGAGCAGCGGAGAAUUCACUUACAGGUACGCUCUACCAACUCAUCGAAAGGAUUCACCAUGAAGCCGUGAUGAUAAAUGCAACCGGAUGAAAAGGGCUAUGUGGACUAUCCAAAUACAGAAAGG
Rhagoletis zephyria (snowberry fruit fly) is the source of this 208-nucleotide long non-coding RNA. RefSeq lists it as uncharacterized. NCBI's taxonomy places the organism in Eukaryota, Metazoa, Arthropoda, Insecta, Diptera, Tephritidae. The record is from RefSeq and is a predicted model, not a curated record.